GCAAGUCGAACGAGAAAGGGAUUGCUUGCAAUCCUGAGUAGAGUGGCGCACGGGUGAGUAACACGUAGAUAAUCUACCUUCAGGUCUGGGAUAACUGUUCGAAAGGGCAGCUAAUACCGGAUGAAGUAAAUUGUCAAAAGAUGAUUUAUGAAAGAUAGCCGAUCCAUGGAAGCUAUCGCUUGGAGAUGAGUUUGCGGACCAUUAGUUAGUUGGUGGGGUAAAGGCCUACCAAGACUGCGAUGGUUAGCUGGUCUGAGAGGAUGAUC
RNAcentral lists this ribosomal RNA (266 nucleotides) under uncultured bacterium. RNAcentral describes it as "partial 16S ribosomal RNA". It matches the Rfam family "Bacterial small subunit ribosomal RNA", at positions 57 to 305 of the family's 1533-position model. The record is from RNAcentral.